GUAAGGAAUAUUGGACAAUGGACGCAAGUCUGAUCCAGCCAUGCCGCGUGAAGGAUUAAGGUCCUCUGGAUUGUAAACUUCUUUUAUAAGGGACGAAAAAAGGCUUUUCUAAGUCGUCUGACGGUACCUUAUGAAUAAGCACCGGCUAACUCCGUGCCAGCAGCCGCGGUAAUACGGAGGGUGCAAGCGUUAUCCGGAUUCACUGGGUUUAAAGGGUGCGUAGGCGGGCAGGUAAGUCAGUGGUGACAUCCUAGAGCUUAACUCUAGAACUGCAAUUGAUACUAUCUGGCUUGAAUAUUGUGGAGGUAAGCGGAAUAUGUCAUGUAGCGGUGAAAUGCUUAGAUAUGACAUAGAACACCUAUUGCGAAGGCAGCUUACUACGCAUAUAUUGACGCUGAGGCACGAAAGCGUGGGGAUCAAACAGGAUUAGAUACCCUAGUAGUCC
RNAcentral lists this ribosomal RNA (445 nucleotides) under uncultured bacterium. RNAcentral describes it as "bacterial SSU rRNA". It matches the Rfam family "Bacterial small subunit ribosomal RNA", at positions 354 to 796 of the family's 1533-position model. The record is from RNAcentral.